Small nuclear RNA from Leptonychotes weddellii (Weddell seal), 107 nucleotides. NCBI's taxonomy places the organism in Eukaryota, Metazoa, Chordata, Mammalia, Carnivora, Phocidae. The record is from RefSeq and is a predicted model, not a curated record.
GUGCUUCCUUCGGCAGCACAUAUACUAAAAUUGGAACAAUACAGAGAAGAUUAGCAGGGUCCCUGUGCAAAGAUGACAUGCAAAUUUGUGAAGCAUUCUAUAUUUUU